This 377-nucleotide ribosomal RNA is filed under the name uncultured bacterium. Its description in RNAcentral is "bacterial SSU rRNA". It matches the Rfam family "Bacterial small subunit ribosomal RNA", at positions 230 to 588 of the family's 1533-position model. The record is from RNAcentral.
CCGAUGUCAGAUUAGGCUUAGUUGGUGGGGUAAAGGCUCACAUCAAGCCAACGAUCUGUAGCCUGGUCUGAGAGGACGACCAGCCACUAACUGGGACUGAGACACGGCCCAGACUCCUACGGGAGGCAGCAGUGGGGAAUUUUGGACAAUGGGCGCAAGCCUGAUCCAGCAAUGCCGCGUGCAGGAAGAAGGCCUUCGGGUUGUAAACUGCUUUUGUACGGAACGAAACGGUCCUGGCUAAUAUCCGGGGCUAAUGACGGUACCGUAAGAAUAAGCACCGGCUAACUACGUGCCAGCAGCCGCGGUAAUACGUAGGGUGCGAGCGUUAAUCGGAAUUACUGGGAUUCGUAAAGCGUGCGCAGGCGUGUGCUGUAAGA